GCCUAACACAUGCAGUCGAACGGAGUUCUUCGGAACUUAGUGGCGGACGGGUGAGUAACACGUGAGAACCUACCUUCAGAAUGGGGACAACAGUUGGAAACGACUGCUAAUACCCAAUGUGCCGAAAGGUGAAAGAUUUAUCGUCUGAAGAUGGGCUCGCGUCUGAUUAGCUAGAUGGUGGGGUAAGAGCCUACCAUGGCAACGAUCAGUAGCUGGUCUGAGAGGAUGAGCAGCCACACUGGGACUGAGACACGGCCCAGACUCCUACGGGAGGCAGCAGUGGGGAAUUUUCCGCAAUGGGCGAAAGCCUGACGGAGCAAUACCGCGUGAGGGAGGAAGGUCCUUGGAUUGUAAACCUCUUUUAUCAGGGAAGAAGUUCUGACGGUACCUGAUGAAUAAGCAUCGGCUAACUCCGUGCCAGCAGCCGCGGUAAUACGGAGGAUGCAAGCGUUAUCCGGAAUUAUUGGGCGUAAAGCGUCCGUAGGUGGUUAUGCAAGUCUGCCGUUAAAGAAUGGAGCUUAACUCCAUAGGAGCGGUGGAAACUGCAAAACUAGAGUACAGUAGGGGUAGCAGGAAUUCCCAGUGUAGCGGUGAAAUGCGUAGAUAUUGGGAAGAACAUCGGUGGCGAAAGCGUGCUACUGGGCUGAAACUGACACUGAGGGACGAAAGCUAGGGUAGCGAAAGGGAUUAGAUACCCCUGUAGUCCUAGCCGUAAACGAUGGAUACUAGGCGUGGCUUGUAUCGACCCGAGCCGUGCCGAAGCUAACGCGUUAAGUAUCCCGCCUGGGGAGUACGCACGCAAGUGUGAAACUCAAAGGAAUUGACGGGGGCCCGCACAAGCGGUGGAGUAUGUGGUUUAAUUCGAUGCAACGCGAAGAACCUUACCAAGGCUUGACAUCCCUGGAAUCCUGCGGAAACGUGGGAGUGCCUUAGGGAGCCAGGAGACAGGUGGUGCAUGGCUGUCGUCAGCUCGUGUCGUGAGAUGUUGGGUUAAGUCCCGCAACGAGCGCAACCCUCGUUUUUAGUUGCCAUCAUUAAGUUGGGCACUCUAGAGAGACUGCCGGUGACAAACCGGAGGAAGGUGGGGAUGACGUCAAGUCAUCAUGCCCCUUACGCCUUGGGCUACACACGUACUACAAUGGUCGGGACAACGGGCAGCGAGCUCGCGAGAGUAAGCGAAUCCCAUCAAACCCGGCCUCAGUUCAGAUUGCAGGCUGCAACUCGCCUGCAUGAAGGAGGAAUCGCUAGUAAUCGCAGGUCAGAAUACUGCGGUGAAUUCGUUCCCGGGCCUUGUACACACCGCCCGUCACACCAUGGGAGCUGGUCACGCCCGAAGUCGUUACUCUAACCUUAGGGAGGAGGGCGCCGAAGGCAGGGCUAGUGACUGGGGUGAAGUCGUAACAAGGUAGCCGACC
Molecule: ribosomal RNA, 1415 nt
Filed under: Synechocystis sp. YACCYB312
Lineage: Bacteria; Bacillati; Cyanobacteriota; Cyanophyceae; Synechococcales; Merismopediaceae
Description: bacterial SSU rRNA
Rfam family: Bacterial small subunit ribosomal RNA
Source: RNAcentral